UGCCGCUGCAUCAAAUUUGGAGCCUGUCACACCAUGGCUGGUACUGGCGCAAAAGGCAGCCAAAAGAACACUGGCUCACGGGCCCUGGGCCCCUCCUGGGCCUCAGGAUACAUCUGGUCACAGACAACA
This is a small nucleolar RNA of Sorex fumeus (smoky shrew), 129 nucleotides long. RefSeq annotates it as small nucleolar RNA SNORA5. Lineage: Eukaryota; Metazoa; Chordata; Mammalia; Eulipotyphla; Soricidae. The record is from RefSeq and is a predicted model, not a curated record. The transcript has a single exon.